Molecule: ribosomal RNA, 439 nt
Filed under: Ischalea sp. CG119
Lineage: Eukaryota; Metazoa; Arthropoda; Arachnida; Araneae; Stiphidiidae
Description: partial 16S ribosomal RNA
Rfam family: Bacterial large subunit ribosomal RNA
Source: RNAcentral
UUCUAAUAGAAAUUAUUAUUAGUAAAAUCUGCUCAAUGAAAUUUAAUAGCCGCAACUAUAGUUGUGCUAAGGUAGCAUAAUCAUUUGUCUUUUAAUUAAAGACUAGAACGAAAGAUUUAACUUUUAAAUUACUUUAUUUAAAUACCCUUUUAAAUUAUUUUAAAUAUUAAAAAAUAUUUAUUAAUAAAAAAGACGAUAAGACCCUAUUGAACUUAACUUUAGUUUAACUGGGGAAGUUAAUUAAAUAUAAUUUUAAUUUUCUACAAAAUACAAUUGAUCCGAUAAAUUCGAUUAAUUAAUCAAGUUACCAUAGGGAUAACAGCGUAAUAAUACUUCAAAGAUCUUAUUAAAAGUACUGCUUGCGACCUCGAUGUUGAAUAAUACCCUAAUAUAUGAAAAAGAAUAUUAAGGAAGUCUGUUCGACUUUUAAUUAAUUACA